This is a small nuclear RNA of Phyllostomus discolor (pale spear-nosed bat), 163 nucleotides long. RefSeq annotates it as U1 spliceosomal RNA. The transcript has a single exon. The record is from RefSeq and is a predicted model, not a curated record. Lineage: Eukaryota; Metazoa; Chordata; Mammalia; Chiroptera; Phyllostomidae.
ACACUCACCUGGUAGGGGAAGUACCAUAUCAAGAAGGUGGUCUUCCCAGGAUUAGGCCCACCCAUUGUACCCUGUGUGUGCUGUCCUCUGUGAUUUCUCCAAAUGUGGGAAACUCGACUGAAUAAUUUAUGGUAGUGGGGCUCUGCAUUUGCGCUCUCUCCUG